Molecule: small nucleolar RNA, 52 nt
Filed under: Physeter macrocephalus (sperm whale)
Lineage: Eukaryota; Metazoa; Chordata; Mammalia; Artiodactyla; Physeteridae
Description: Physeter catodon (sperm whale) Small nucleolar RNA SNORA11 (ENSPCTG00005016532.1)
Rfam family: Small nucleolar RNA SNORA11
About the family: U107 (SNORA11) is a member of the H/ACA class of snoRNAs that guide the sites of modification of uridines to pseudouridines. This snoRNA was identified by RT-PCR from blood cells and its expression confirmed by Northern blot analysis.
Source: Rfam by way of RNAcentral
UGACAAGGGGCACAAAACUCGUGGCCUUCCUAUGAACAAAUACCCUACACGU